UACCAGCUCUCCGAGUGGUGUGGAUGUUUAUUGGGCCUAAAGCAUCCGUAGCUGGCUGGGCAAGUCCCCUGUUAAAUCCACCGAUUUAAUCGUUGGAGUGCGGGGGAUACUGUUCGGCUAGGGGGAUGGGAGAGGCAGACGGUAUUUUCGGGGUAGGGGUGAAAUCCUAUAAUCCCGGGAAGACCACCAGUGGCGAAGGCUGUCUGCUAGAACGCGCCCGACGGUGAGGGAUGAAAGCUGGGGGGAGCGAACCGGAUUAGAUACCCGGGUAGUCCCAGCUGUAAACGAUGCAGGCUAGGUGUUUGGGCGGCCACGUGCCGCUCUAGUGCCGCAGGGAAGCCGUUAAGCCUGCCGCCUGGGGAGUACGGCCGCAAGGCUAGAAACUUAAAGGAAUUGGCGGGGGAGCACCACAAGGGGUGAAGCUUGCGGUUU
RNAcentral lists this ribosomal RNA (432 nucleotides) under uncultured archaeon. RNAcentral's name for it is "bacterial SSU rRNA". It matches the Rfam family "Archaeal small subunit ribosomal RNA", at positions 474 to 903 of the family's 1478-position model. The record is from RNAcentral.